RNAcentral lists this ribosomal RNA (302 nucleotides) under Trochidrobia punicea. RNAcentral's name for it is "eukaryotic LSU rRNA". It matches the Rfam family "Eukaryotic large subunit ribosomal RNA", at positions 686 to 950 of the family's 3401-position model. The record is from RNAcentral. Lineage: Eukaryota; Metazoa; Mollusca; Gastropoda; Littorinimorpha; Tateidae.
GCGAGUCGUUGGGCGGUACGAAACCCGAAGGCGAAGUGAAAGCGAGGGCCGUCUCUGACUGUGCUCAGGUGGGAUCCCGGGCUCUUUUCCCUUUGGGCCUGGGCGCACCACCGGCCCGCCUCGUCCGCGCUGUCGGUGAGGCGGAGCAGGAGCGUGCACGUUGGGACCCGAAAGAUGGUGAACUCUGCCUGAGUAGGACGAAGCCAGAGGAAACUCUGGUGGAGGUCCGUAGCGAUUCUGACGUGCAAAUCGAUCGUCAAACUUGGGUAUAGGGGCGAAAGACUAAUCGAACCAUCUAGUAG